UCUUCCGUAGUAUAGUGGUCAGUAUGUGAGCUUGUCAUCCAGUCAACAACGCUCGAGACCCGGGUUCAAUUCCCGGCGGGAGAG
Transfer RNA from Podospora anserina, 84 nucleotides. It matches the Rfam family "tRNA". Rfam says of the family: Transfer RNA (tRNA) molecules are approximately 80 nucleotides in length. Their secondary structure includes four short double-helical elements and three loops (D, anti-codon, and T loops). Lineage: Eukaryota; Fungi; Ascomycota; Sordariomycetes; Sordariales; Podosporaceae. The record is from Rfam.